This 73-nucleotide transfer RNA is filed under the name Phycisphaerae bacterium. RNAcentral describes it as "tRNA-Lys". It matches the Rfam family "tRNA". Rfam says of the family: Transfer RNA (tRNA) molecules are approximately 80 nucleotides in length. Their secondary structure includes four short double-helical elements and three loops (D, anti-codon, and T loops). Further hydrogen bonds mediate the characteristic L-shaped molecular structure. tRNAs have two regions of fundamental functional importance: the anti-codon, which is responsible for specific mRNA codon recognition, and the 3' end, to which the tRNAs corresponding amino acid is attached (by aminoacyl-tRNA synthetases). tRNAs cope with the degeneracy of the genetic code in two manners: having more than one tRNA (with a specific anti-codon) for a particular amino acid; and 'wobble' base-pairing, i.e. permitting non-standard base-pairing at the 3rd anti-codon position. Lineage: Bacteria; Pseudomonadati; Planctomycetota; Phycisphaerae. The record is from RNAcentral.
GGGCGAUUAGCUCAGCCGGUAGAGCAGCUGACUCUUAAUCAGCAGGUCGUAGGUUCGAUCCCUACAUCGCUCA